GUAGGUGAACCUGCGGAAGGAUCAUUACUGAGGGCGUGUGGGUUUUAAUAACUCCGCGAACCCCCCAACCCUUUGUCUAUCAUCCUAUUAUAGUUUGUUUGGGGCACGGUUUUGUGGGCUUUUUUAAGUCUAAGGGACUCCAAACCAAAUCUCACGGCCCCAAAAGAAAAAACUACUCCAGUCUAAAAACUCAAAUAUUAUGUUGUCUGAAAUUAAAUAAGAACAAGCAAAACUUUCAACAACGGAUCUCUUGGUUCCG
Molecule: unclassified non-coding RNA, 259 nt
Filed under: rhizosphere metagenome
Description: partial ribosomal RNA internal transcribed spacer region
Source: RNAcentral